Molecule: RNA transcript, 1497 nt
Organism: Nycticebus coucang (slow loris)
Lineage: Eukaryota; Metazoa; Chordata; Mammalia; Primates; Lorisidae
Gene name: protein FAM118B-like
Exons: 2
Source: RefSeq, a predicted model, not a curated record
UGCCACAGAAAUAACCACAUUUCCUUGUCAAUUGCAUCAUUAUUAUAAGGAAUGCUCCAAUCCGUAACAUGGCCAUUUUAGGUCUGGUUAUUCACAGUUAACUGCUUUAUUCUCAUGCUUUUCUGAACAUUUUUUUGCAAGCAACCAUAAUCCUAAAGUGUUGUCUCUUCAAGAUUUGUGGGAAUGGAAAAGACUCUGCCAAAUGUAGGUUGCUUUUAAGAUCACAUAAUUGGACUGGAUAAGAAUUUCCAAAACUCUAAUGGGAAAACUGGACUCAUAAAACUGCUAACCCGGUUUGGAAGCGACGCGGUUUCAAGGCGUAAGUGUUCUGUCUCAUAUGAAGACCUCAGCCUUAAAAAUUCUGUUAAUGAGGUUGCUGUUACUUUUCUCAGCUUUCACCAAGUGUCUGACUUUUAUUUUGCUGUACUGUGUUGGCUUUGAAGGAUUUCUCAGUGGCUUAGCAGUAAUUCGAGUAAUGAAGACAGUAACACAGAAACUGGAUGGCUUCUACAGGGAGCCAGGCCUCUGAUAUAGACGAGAUUUUUGGAUUCUUCAGUGAUGGCGCACCCCCCACCAAAAAGCCCAGGAAGCUGCUUCCAAGCUUAAAAACUAAGAAGCCUCGGGAACUCGUGCUGGUGAUUGGCACAGGCAUCAGUGCUGCUGUUGCCCCUCAGGUUCCAGCAGGCCUUGGAUCUUCUAGAAGAUGAGGAGAGCAAAAAGUUUCAGAAGUGUCUCCAUGAAGACAAGAACCUUGUCCAUGUUGCCCAUGACCUUAUCCAGAAACUCUCUCCUCGCACCAGUAAUGUUCGAUCCACAUUUUUCAAAGACUGUUUGCAUGAAGUAUUUGAUGACUUGGAGUCAAAGAUGGAAGAUUCUGGAUAACAGCUACUUCAGUCAGAUCUCCACUUGAUGGAAAAUGGAGCCCUCAUAUUAACUACAAAUUUUGAUAAUCUCCUGGAACUGUACGCAGCAGACCAGGGGAAACAACUCGAAUCCCUUGACCGUACUGAUGAGAAAAAUCCCUUGACCGUACUGAUGAGCCCCUCUCUCGAGUGGGCUCAGGAGAAGAGGAAACUGAGUGUGCUGCACAUCCAUGGGGUCUACACCAACCCUAGUGGCAUUGUCCUUCAUCCAGCAGGAUAUCAGAAUGUGCUCAGGAACACUGAAGUUAUGAGAGAGAUUCAGAAACUCUAUGAAAACAAGUCAUUUCUUUUCUUGGGCUGCGGCUGGACUGUGGAUAACACCACUUUCCAGGCCCUUUUCCUGGAGGCCGUGAAGCAUAAAUCUGACUUAGAACAUUUCAUGCUGGUCCGGAGAGGAGAUGUAGAUGAGUUCAAGAAGCUUCGAGAAAACAUGCUAGACAAAGCGCCUGUGUUCUUUCGUAGCACCUGCAUCCCGGCGCGCAGCCCAGACAUGAUCCUGCCGCUUGGAAAGGACCGCUGGGUGAUAACCCUAGCCCCACGGAACGAGGCAGGUCUCCAGGCGUUGCCAAGAUGA